RNAcentral lists this long non-coding RNA (1357 nucleotides) under Junco hyemalis (dark-eyed junco). RNAcentral describes it as "lncRNA (ENSJHYG00000013096.1)". Lineage: Eukaryota; Metazoa; Chordata; Aves; Passeriformes; Passerellidae. The record is from RNAcentral.
UAUCCCACUUUUCAGCCUUGGUUUUCCCACCUUUUCCACCAAAUUUCAGCCCCACUUUUCCCCAAAUUCCAGCCUUCUAUCCCACUUUUCAGCCUUAUUUUUCCCUAUUUCCAGCCUCGCUUUUCCCAAAUUCCAGCCCCACUUUUCCCAAUUUCCAACCCCAGUUUUCCCAAAUUCCAGCCCUUUUAUCCCACUUUUCAGCUUUGCUUUUCCCAAAUUUUCAGCCCCACUUCAGCCAAAUUUCAGCCCCACUUCUCCCAAAUUCCAGCCCCACUUUUCAGCCUUGGCUUUCCCAAUUUUCAGCCCCAAUUUUCCCAAAUUCCAGCCCCACUUCUUCCAAAUUCCAGCCUUGGUUUUCCCUAUUUCCAGCUCAUUUUUCCCCAACUUUCAGCCUUGGUUUUCCCUAUUUCCAGCCCCUUUUUCCCAACUUUCAGCCCCUUUUUUCCCUAUUUCCAGCCCAUUUUUCCCAAAUUUCAGCCCCACUUCUCCCAAAUCCCAGUCCUACUCCUCCUACAUUCCAGCCCCUUUUUCCCAAAUUCCAGUCUCAGUUUCUCCAAAUUUCAGCCCCAGCUUUCCCAACUUUCAGCCUCGAUUUCCCCAAAUUUCAGCCUCAGUUUUCCCAUCUUUUCCCCCAAAUUUCAGCCCCAUUUUUCCCAAAUUCCAGCCCUUUUAUCCCACUUUUCAGCCUUGGUUUUCCCAAUUUUCAGCCCAAAUUCCAGCCUCAGUUUUCUCAAUUUUCCAGCCCCAUUCUCCCAAAUUCCAGCCUUGGUUUUCCCAAAUUUCCCGUUUUGUUUCUCCCAAAUUCCAGCCCCAAUCUUCCCAAAAUUCCAGCCCUUCUAUCCCACUUUUCACCCUUGGUUCUCCCAACCUUCUGCCCCUUUUUUCCCAAAUUCCAGACUCGGUUUUCCCAAAUUCUAGCCCCACUUUUCCUAAAUUCUAUCCCUGCUUUUCCCAAAUUCCAGCCCCAAUUCCCAUCUUUCAUAUCCAUGGAAUUAUCCAGAUUUAUAAACAUCCAUGGAUUUAUCCCACCUGUGGGAAAUGUGUUUUUCCUAGUGGGAAAAGUCUGGAAAACUCCCAUGGAAUUCCAGAUAGAAUAGACCUGGAGGGAAUUGGUGGAUGGAGAGAGGUGGAAAAUCAGGAUUUAUGUGGAAAAGCAGGAUCUGAAAGGACAGAAAAUCGGGAUUUAGGUGAAAAAACGGGAUCUGAAAUGAUGGAAAACAAGAAAAAGCAGGAUCUGAAACAAUAGAAAACAGGGAAAAGGGGGAUCUGAAAUGAUGGAAAACCGGGAUUUGUGUGGAACAGCAGGAUCUGAAAUGAUGGAAAACAGGGAAAAACGGGAUCUGAAAUGAUGGAAAAC